CCUACGGGAGGCAGCAGUGGGGAAUAUUGCACAAUGGGGGAAACCCUGAUGCAGCGACGCCGCGUGAGUGAAGAAGUAAUUCGUUACGUAAAGCUCUAUCAGCCGGGAAGAAAAUGACGGUACCUGAGUAAGAAGCCCCGGCUAACUACGUGCCAGCAGCCGCGGGAAUACGUAGGGGGCAAGCGUUAUACGGAUUUACUGGGUGUAAAGGGGGCGUAGACGGUGCGCCAAGUCGGGAGUGAAAUGCCGCAGCUUAACUGCGGAACUGCCUUGGAAACUGGCGAACUAGAGUGCGGGAGGGGUAAGCGGAAUGCCCAGUGUAGCGGUGAAAUGCGUAGAUAUUAGGAGGAACACCGGUGGCGAAGGCGGCUUACUGGACCGUAACUGACGUUGAGGCUCGAAAGCGUGGGGAGCAAACAGGAUUAGAUACCCCAGUAGUC
This 440-nucleotide ribosomal RNA is filed under the name uncultured bacterium. RNAcentral's name for it is "partial 16S ribosomal RNA". It matches the Rfam family "Bacterial small subunit ribosomal RNA", at positions 338 to 795 of the family's 1533-position model. The record is from RNAcentral.